Molecule: ribosomal RNA, 432 nt
Filed under: uncultured bacterium
Lineage: Bacteria
Description: partial 16S ribosomal RNA
Rfam family: Bacterial small subunit ribosomal RNA
Source: RNAcentral
CCUACGGGGGGCAGCAGUAGGGAAUCUUCGGCAAUGGGCGAAAGCCUGACCGAGCAACGCCGCGUGAAUGAUGAAGGCCUUCGGGUUGUAAAAUUCUGUUAUAAGGGAAGCGGUACCUUAUGAGAAAGCCACGGCUAACUACGUGCCAGCAGCCGCGGUAAUACGUAGGUGGCAAGCGUUAUCCGGAAUUAUUGGGCGUAAAGAGCGCGCAGGUGGUUGAUUAAGUCUGAUGUGAAAGCCCACGGCUUAACCGUGGAGGGUCAUUGGAAACUGGUCGACUUGAGUGCAGAAGAGGGAAGUGGAAUUCCAUGUGUAGCGGUGAAAUGCGUAGAGAUAUGGAGGAACACCAGUGGCGAAGGCGGCUUCCUGGUCUGUACUGACACUGAGGCGCGAAAGCGUGGGGAGCAAACAGGAUUAGAUACCCUUGUAGUC